AAAAAACUUUGAAUAAAUAGCCUUGUCUGUGCAGAAACGGCUGUGGGCUUCUUUGUGUGGAAAAAAAUGUGUUUUUUUUCCUCCUAAGGAAAAUGAAUGUGUGUGUGUGGUGGGGGGAAUCCAGGGGCAAAUAAAGACCUAGAAACUGGGGUUUGGCUCAAAUGCCCCCCCUACCGUGUGCGUGAGUGUGUGUGUGUGUGUGUGUGUGUGUGUGUGUGUGUGUGUGUGUGUGUUCGUAACACAUUCCCAGCCACAGCAAUCCUACAUUUUCAUCCCUGGCCCCUGUUUAGAUGACCCGACACAGCACAGUUGUCCACAGGUUCACUCUUACCAGAAGAUGGAAGGAAGGACCUAGAUGAGAAGAGCCAGAACAUACCCACCUCUGACUGGUGAGGGUUGAUAAGGAAGGAAGGCUCUUUGAAGCCUGUAUAUGUUCUCAGAGUCUGGACACAGCGGACCUGUGUAGGAAGCUUGGAUACCUAGCUCCAGCCCCAAGUCCCUGGAGUGUUUUUUUUUACCCAGUCUUGGGGUAAAAGGUUGUAAGAAAUCUGUGCAGCAGCAAGUUAAUUUUGGGAAGCAUCUGUGGGCAUGAGGACAUGAAACCAGGAUGUAGGGCAUGCUGGAUAGUGACUGGGUCCCAUACAUUUUCAUUCAUAACUGCUCCCGUGGGUCCUUGUCAGGACCCUGCCUCUGUUGCAUCUUUAUGAGAUUCCUUGGGUUUUGUAUGGACAACAAAGGGCGCUGCCCUAAUUACCCCUGACCCUGACCCUGUGGCUGCAAUUUCUCCUUGUGACUGCUGGAUCCUCUCAGCAGGACACAGUGGCCUCUAUCCAGGCCUCUCUGAGGGGAAUCUUUCUCCUGAAGAGACCCUGAGUCUGGGUGCAACCUGCCUGGGUGCAUGGAGCCUGGCCUGGAAAUUCCAUCCAUGAGGUUAGGCCCUCCCUCAGGGAGGCAACACACAGCAGUCCUACCACAGACACUAGACAAGGGGAGAGGGAAUGGUGUCUGGAGGCUGCCACUUGCUGGCUGUGUGGGCCAGGAGAUUGACCCUGCUGGGCCUUAGUCUCCUGAUUUACAAAAUUAGUUCAAUCACAGAACUCUCAUCAUCCCACAUGGUUGCUGGAAGGAUGAGGUAGAUCCAAACAUUUGACUCUUCAGACUAAAGACUGGACAGUCUUCAACGUAGAAUAGCAGAUGACAAAUGGGCAGGGUUGAGAGUAAGGGAUGCUAGAAACAUUUCCAGAAGUUGUUCCAUUAUCCUUACUUACCUUCCUGACUGCUGACAGUUCAGCCUCAGCUUGCGUACUUCCUGUGACAGGGUGCUCACCACCUCUGGGCAGUAAGCCUCUACUUAUUGGGCAGCUGUGAGUUACAUGCCUCCUGGAAAGCCACACCAGGUGAUCAAUCCUGACUUUAGGCUUAAGAUGCUGAGGCCUCUCCCAACCACAGACUUGUUUUUCCUUAGUGAUCAUGAGGUCUUAGUCCUGUAUCCAGGCUAUAGUGAUAUGUGUGCAUGGCAAUGGGGAGCAUUCUUCCAGUGGCUGUUUCUUACUGAUAUAAGAGAAGUUCAGGGAAGGGUCUGUCCAUUGGCUCUAGGGUAGUCAGCUUGCCUCUUGACACUUUCUUUCCUUGAAUUGGGUAUGACCCGGGAGGGGUUGCAUAAUGAGGAUAGGGUCAGGUCAGGGACCCAGGAUUGACUCUUCAAUGAUAGUCUACAGAGUGAAGCCAGUAGCCAGUGAGUCCCAGAACUAUGCAAGACACUCUUAGGAGCUUUUUUGUAGCAAGGGCAGAAAGACCAGUCCAAAUAAAUAAUUAUCCACCAGCCUCUGGCUGCCUGCCAUAUGCACAUGAGAAAGGGCGUGGCCAUAGCCCCUUCCUUUGCCUGGCAUGGCCUAUCUAGAAUCACUUUUCAAAUUUGUUUGAUCCCAUUAACAACAGUGUCAGCUGCUAUAUGGAAUUACUUCCAUCUAACAGAGAAGAAAACUAAAGCUCAGAGAGAGGCCAAGAGGCUGUGGCUAAGUCAGGACUCAACUCCAGACCUUACACACUCCUACAACACAGUGCGUUGAGCAAUAGCCCCGACUAUGCUGGCAUGUGGCACAGAAGCCUGUGUGGAUCCCAGGAGUGUAGCAGUUGUUUCCAGGAAGGGUCGCAGGUGGCCCUCCCUGCAUCUGGCAAUAUAUGCCCCCAGCAGCUGUCUUCCCCCCCUCUUUCCCUCCCACCCACCCAUCUAGAACUUGCAUUGUACCUCAGAUAUUGUCUGCCUAGGCAUAUGCAUGCAGUAGCUUCAGCUCUGCCUGGCCCUGGAGGAGGAAACAAGAUUGUCCCUGAGCUGCUAUGGUUUCUAUAGAUACAGAGCAUGACUCAAACUGCCCCAAACUGCCCCUCCUUUGGCUGAGUCAGUCUCCUACACUAUGUAGGGUGGCCGCCCUGUGGGGCCCCUGGGUUCUUUCCCCCAUGGUCACCACCCUUAUACCUCAUCAUCUGGAACCUAGUUGAGUGCCACCCUUUGACAAGACUUUGGCUGGUGGGGUUGUGGGCAGUGGGUAACUGGGCAGGCUGAGAUGGCACCUCCUCAGAAGUCUGACUUGGCCUGGCCAGGCACACCUGUGCAGAUUGAAUGCAAAGCUGAUGUGAGAGAAGCCAAACCCAGUUCCUCUUGAGAGGGUCCGGGCUCUCACCUACCAAGGUCUCCUCUCACUUCCUUCUGAACCCCACCUCCUGACCCAUUUCAUGCUGACUUUGAGCUUGUGUGGCUGAUGGCUUGCUUGCCUGCUGUUGUUUCCUCUGUGGACAAGGAAGCAGAGUUGGAACUUGCUUGCUCCACCCUGCGAGUCACCUUUGUCAGGUCCAGGUGACAGCUGCUGGAGGAAAAAGGGACCAGGCUCAGGAUGCAAUUGUCUGGACCUUGCCCUAUCCCCAAGGCUCCUGCCCAAUCUCCCACCCUGCUCCCUGGGUGGACCUUGACCUCAACUGGAACAAUUGAGAAGCACAGAAUACCAUUCCAACAGCCAGCAAGCAGCAGAGCCAAGCGACAGGCAGAACCAGGAGCUCUCCAGAAAGAGUCGUGACUUUCUCCUGGUGUUUGGAAGUACAAGAAGUCCUUCUGGGAUCUCUGUUUGCCCUUCUGGAUGGCAGAUGGGGAAAGCCCAAGUCCAGAGGAAUUCAGGAACAGGCCCUAGGCCAAAUGAGACGGCUUUCCUACAGUAGGG
Molecule: long non-coding RNA, 3212 nt
Filed under: Cricetulus griseus (Chinese hamster)
Lineage: Eukaryota; Metazoa; Chordata; Mammalia; Rodentia; Cricetidae
Description: lncRNA (ENSCGRG00015037371.1)
Source: RNAcentral